Molecule: ribosomal RNA, 2906 nt
Rfam family: Bacterial large subunit ribosomal RNA
UUAAGCGACUAAGCGUACACGGUGGAUGCCCUGGCAGUCAGAGGCGAUGAAGGGCGUGCUAAUCUGCGAUAAGCGCCGGUAAGGUGAUAUGAACCGUUAUAACCGGCGAUACCCGAAUGGGGAAACCCAGUGUGACUCGUCACACUAUCAUUAACUGAAUCCAUAGGUUAAUGAGGCGAACCGGGGGAACUGAAACAUCUAAGUACCCCGAGGAAAAGAAAUCAACCGAGAUUCCCCCAGUAGCGGCGAGCGAACGGGGAGGAGCCCAGAGCCUGAAUCAGCAUAUGUGUUAGUGGAAGCGUCUGGAAAGGCGCGCGAUACAGGGUGACAGCCCCGUACACAAAAGCGCAUGUGCUGUGAGCUCGAUGAGUAGGGCGGGACACGUGGUAUCCUGUCUGAAUAUGGGGGGACCAUCCUCCAAGGCUAAAUACUCCUGACUGACCGAUAGUGAACCAGUACCGUGAGGGAAAGGCGAAAAGAACCCCGGCGAGGGGAGUGAAAAAGAACCUGAAACCGUGUACGUACAAGCAGUGGGAGCACAGGUUUACCUGUGUGACUGCGUACCUUUUGUAUAAUGGGUCAGCGACUUAUAUUCUGUAGCAAGGUUAACCGAAUAGGGGAGCCGGAGGGAAACCGAGUCUUAAUUGGGCGUUAAGUUGCAGGGUAUAGACCCGAAACCCGGUGAUCUAGCCAUGGGCAGGUUGAAGGUUGGGUAACACUAACUGGAGGACCGAACCGACUAAUGUUGAAAAAUUAGCGGAUGACCUGUGGCUGGGGGUGAAAGGCCAAUCAAACCGGGAGAUAGCUGGUUCUCCCCGAAAGCUAUUUAGGUAGCGCCUCGUGAAUUCAUCUCCGGGGGUAGAGCACUGUUUCGGCUAGGGGGCCAUCCCGGCUUACCAACCCGAUGCAAACUGCGAAUACCGGAGAAUGUUAUCACGGGAGACACACGGCGGGUGCUAACGUCCGUCGUGAAGAGGGAAACAACCCAGACCGCCAGCUAAGGUCCCAAAGUCAUGGUUAAGUGGGAAACGAUGUGGGAAGGCCCAGACAGCCAGGAUGUUGGCUUAGAAGCAGCCAUCAUUUAAAGAAAGCGUAAUAGCUCACUGGUCGAGUCGGCCUGCGCGGAAGAUGUAACGGGGCUAAACCAUGCACCGAAGCUGCGGCAGCGACGCUGAUGCGUUGUUGGGUAGGGGAGCGUUCUGUAAGCCUGCGAAGGUGGCCUGUGAGGGUUGCUGGAGGUAUCAGAAGUGCGAAUGCUGACAUAAGUAACGAUAAAGCGGGUGAAAAGCCCGCUCGCCGGAAGACCAAGGGUUCCUGUCCAACGUUAAUCGGGGCAGGGUGAGUCGACCCCUAAGGCGAGGCCGAAAGGCGUAGUCGAUGGGAAACGGGUUAAUAUUCCCGUACUUGGUGUUACUGCGAAGGGGGGACGGAGAAGGCUAUGUUGGCCGGGCGACGGUUGUCCCGGUUUAAGCGUGUAGGUGUGUGUUCCAGGUAAAUCCGGUUCACUUUAACACUGAGGCGUGAUGACGAGGCACUACGGUGCUGAAGCAACAAAUGCCCUGCUUCCAGGAAAAGCCUCUAAGCAUCAGGUAACAUCAAAUCGUACCCCAAACCGACACAGGUGGUCAGGUAGAGAAUACCAAGGCGCUUGAGAGAACUCGGGUGAAGGAACUAGGCAAAAUGGUGCCGUAACUUCGGGAGAAGGCACGCUGACACGUAGGUGAAGUGAUUUACUCAUGGAGCUGAAGUCAGUCGAAGAUACCAGCUGGCUGCAACUGUUUAUUAAAAACACAGCACUGUGCAAACACGAAAGUGGACGUAUACGGUGUGACGCCUGCCCGGUGCCGGAAGGUUAAUUGAUGGGGUCAGCGCAAGCGAAGCUCCUGAUCGAAGCCCCGGUAAACGGCGGCCGUAACUAUAACGGUCCUAAGGUAGCGAAAUUCCUUGUCGGGUAAGUUCCGACCUGCACGAAUGGCGUAAUGAUGGCCAGGCUGUCUCCACCCGAGACUCAGUGAAAUUGAACUCGCUGUGAAGAUGCAGUGUACCCGCGGCAAGACGGAAAGACCCCGUGAACCUUUACUAUAGCUUGACACUGAACAUUGAGCCUUGAUGUGUAGGAUAGGUGGGAGGCUUUGAAGUGUGGACGCCAGUCUGCAUGGAGCCGGCCUUGAAAUACCACCCUUUAAUGUUUGAUGUUCUAACGUGGACCCGUGAUCCGGGUUGCGGACAGUGUCUGGUGGGUAGUUUGACUGGGGCGGUCUCCUCCUAAAGAGUAACGGAGGAGCACGAAGGUUGGCUAAUCCUGGUCGGACAUCAGGAGGUUAGUGCAAUGGCAUAAGCCAGCUUGACUGCGAGCGUGACGGCGCGAGCAGGUGCGAAAGCAGGUCAUAGUGAUCCGGUGGUUCUGAAUGGAAGGGCCAUCGCUCAACGGAUAAAAGGUACUCCGGGGAUAACAGGCUGAUACCGCCCAAGAGUUCAUAUCGACGGCGGUGUUUGGCACCUCGAUGUCGGCUCAUCACAUCCUGGGGCUGAAGUAGGUCCCAAGGGUAUGGCUGUUCGCCAUUUAAAGUGGUACGCGAGCUGGGUUUAGAACGUCGUGAGACAGUUCGGUCCCUAUCUGCCGUGGGCGCUGGAGAACUGAGGGGGGCUGCUCCUAGUACGAGAGGACCGGAGUGGACGCAUCACUGGUGUUCGGGUUGUCAUGCCAAUGGCACUGCCCGGUAGCUAAAUGCGGAAGAGAUAAGUGCUGAAAGCAUCUAAGCACGAAACUUGCCCCGAGAUGAGUUCUCCCUGAGACUUAGAGUCUCCUGAAGGAACGUUGAAGACGACGACGUUGAUAGGCCGGGUGUGUAAGCGCAGCGAUGCGUUGAGCUAACCGGUACUAAUGAACCGUGAGGCUUAACCUU